Long non-coding RNA from Melitaea cinxia (Glanville fritillary), 821 nucleotides. RefSeq lists it as uncharacterized. The transcript is spliced from 3 exons. The record is from RefSeq and is a predicted model, not a curated record. Lineage: Eukaryota; Metazoa; Arthropoda; Insecta; Lepidoptera; Nymphalidae.
GUUACGACGACAUAUUUUGUACAAAAAAUUGUUGUAUUUUUGCAACGUGGUCGUGACGUGGACAAUAGAAUUAUAUGUCAUGACGUGGCAGUGGUUAUAGAGCGUAGUAGGGACCAGUCAAGGAGUGCAAACCCCCCGGAAACCGAGACAAAGUCCGCCCCGGCAAGUCGCGUAGACCCGUAGAUCGCGCAUUGGGGGCGGUAAAUCGUUCCAGCACCGGGAGGCCGCAAACCUGAACGAUCCACGAAAGGCAGCAGUUCUGUGCGCCGGCGUCUCGAAAACAUUAGUACAAGCACGCCUGGGGUACCCUCCAUGCACCUUAGUCCACGCCAAUUUGCCAAAUAGAUAUUGCGGUGUGCCAGUGCUCAGUGUGACGUGAGCUCGCGAGGACAAACCAAAGCAAUACCGUGCACAAGCAUUUUGCACUCGCUGUAUGAGUUUUGAAGUUCUAACAAGCAAGCAUGGACCAUAGACGGUAUCACAAUAGUUUAACUUAGAUAGUAUGAGUGACUCGCACAAGGUUAGUCUUAGUCUCUCGCUGAUAUAGGGUCUAAUGUUAUAUAGAAGCUUCAAUCUAUAAAAGCAGUUACGGGCGCACUCCAUAAUAUGUUUCUCAAAGCGGAGGUCGCCAUCGAGCACCAGGCCCAGGCUCUUAACGUUGACCACACGCUCCACCCUUUCCCCACCUAUCAUUAUGUUUAUGGGUAUGUUAUCAUACAGAGCAAUCUUUUUUCUAGAACCAGUUACGAGGAGCUUGGAUUUCUUGGGGUUCAGGACAAGACAGUUUGUUUUGCACCACCUUGAGAUUGUCUUUAGGUCAA